UGCUCUCUCUCCCCCUCCCCUAGGUUCUCUACUCUGCGAUGGCCGACGAGAUUAAUCAGUUUCCGGCCUCACCCAAGUUUUUCAUUGAUUGGGUUUCGACUGCUUUGAGCAGUUCAGAGAGUUGAUUGAUGAUACCUGGAUUCCAGACAAUAACGACAGAUUACUAGAAUAAAAUUCCUCAUCAUUAUUGCUGGCAUGGAAGUAUCUUGUAGGACUAUGCAAGUGGUAUGCAAUGCACAGUGAAAUCUUAAUUGAUCCCCUACAUUUUCUUGAUAAUGCUCUAUUCAUGAAUGAUGUGGAUGGUGCCAUGUGAAUAUCUGGUACAAUUGUGGUGUUAUAUGUAGCGACGGUGAGACGAUUACAUCGUUUCUGAUGUGGGAAAAUGAUGUGAUGAUCUAUUGUCAUUUUCCCUGUUCCACCACUGGUACUCUAAGCUUUGUAAUAGACAAGCACAUUCCAGUAGUCCUGUCAACCUUACAAAAGAACUACAGUGUUAUUCUGGUGGGGGGGUUGAUUUUAAUUAGAAUGCCUGUUCUUGCUUUGCUUUC
Long non-coding RNA from Rosa rugosa (rugosa rose), 548 nucleotides. RefSeq lists it as uncharacterized. NCBI's taxonomy places the organism in Eukaryota, Viridiplantae, Streptophyta, Magnoliopsida, Rosales, Rosaceae. The record is from RefSeq and is a predicted model, not a curated record. The transcript is spliced from 3 exons.